UACGUAGGGUGCAAGCGUUGUCCGGAUUUAUUGGGCGUAAAGCGCUCGCAGGUGGUUCGUUGCGUCGUGCGUGAAAGACCCCGGCUCAACUGGGGAGGGUCGUGCGAUACGGGCGGACUGGAGGCCAGUAGGGGGAUGCGGAAUUCCGGGUGUAGUGGUGGAAUGCGUAGAGAUCCGGAGGAACACCAGCGGCGAAGGCGGCAUCCUGGACUGGUCCUGACACUCAGGAACGAAAGCGUGGGGAGCGAUCCGG
This 253-nucleotide ribosomal RNA is filed under the name uncultured bacterium. RNAcentral's name for it is "partial 16S ribosomal RNA". It matches the Rfam family "Bacterial small subunit ribosomal RNA", at positions 524 to 776 of the family's 1533-position model. The record is from RNAcentral.